CAGUUCUUUUCGGUCAAUACGUCCCGCAAAAAGAACAAUCAAGUAUGGCUGUGUUACUAACAAACAGAGGAUUGCAAUGAAACCAACCAUGACUGGAUAAACGUGAAUUUAGCGGGAGUAAUUACAUCGAAUGCUUCGUCGAAAGUUGAAGGAGUCGGAAUUCAUGACACUAGCCGUUUAGAAAAUGUUUUGUGUUAUGCUAUAAAAAUUGAUUUUAUCGAACAAACGACCAUUUAUUGUGAAGAUUGGGCCUUUUGUAUCACCAAAAGAAGAAGAUCUUCAAAGAUGACAUCCUGUGACUAAUGAGGUCUGGCCGCCAGACAACCUGCCCGCUCGACCACAUCUCCUCCUCCCUUCUCCAGACCAUCUCUGGAGACCUUCUCUUAUUCCUCUCCGCCCUCAUCAACUCACCCCUGACCACUGGCAGUGUUCCCUCUGACUUCGAAAUGUUGCUCCUCUCCACAAGAAACCAACAGUCGACUCAACUGAUGUCAAAAACUAUAGACCCGUAUCACUUUUUUUCUUUACAAAACUGUCUCUGAUGAACUUUUUUGUUAUUUCUCUCAAAAUGAUCUACCUGACCCAAACCAGUCAGGCUUGAAGAUGGGUCACUCAACCGAGACUGCUCUUCUCUGUGUUUACGGAGGAUCUCCGCAUUGGCAAAGCUGACUCUCUCCUCUGUUCUCAUCCUCCUCUUUCAAUAAUAGUGUUGCCCUGAAUUGGUGACAUCCAACACAUCUCAGUGGAAAAAGGAAUAUGGAAUGCCUGGUCGAUGCUUGAUGAGAAGGAUAUUUUUUAAAUAUUUCAGUCUAUUGUGAAUCAUUAAUCCAUACACAGGUAAGAGUAUAGAGUUAAAAUAGCUACAUAUCUAGUCACAUCCCAGUUAGCAAUGAGCAAUCGGCAGGCAGGUAGCCCUCAAAUAAUUCUGCCAUGCAGACAGUAAACUUGAUCGGUGGCCUUACUGGCAGGGUGCCAGUUUUUAAAUGAACAUUUAUUUGCCAGAGAUGCAAAUCAACUCAUCAGAGAUGCAAAUUGCAUCAUAACAGCAAACUGCUUAUCCUUCACUCUGCGGUCCAACUCAUCUCAAACCAUCUUGAACUCAAAAUAAAUCACAGACAGUGUCACCAGCAAAGCACCCC
RNAcentral lists this long non-coding RNA (1139 nucleotides) under Salmo salar (Atlantic salmon). Its description in RNAcentral is "lncRNA (ENSSSAG00000122072.1, ENSSSAG00020059298.1)". Lineage: Eukaryota; Metazoa; Chordata; Actinopteri; Salmoniformes; Salmonidae. The record is from RNAcentral.